This 82-nucleotide transfer RNA is filed under the name Archaeoglobales archaeon. Its description in RNAcentral is "tRNA-Ser". It matches the Rfam family "tRNA". From Rfam's summary of the family: Transfer RNA (tRNA) molecules are approximately 80 nucleotides in length. Their secondary structure includes four short double-helical elements and three loops (D, anti-codon, and T loops). Lineage: Archaea; Methanobacteriati; Methanobacteriota; Archaeoglobi; Archaeoglobales. The record is from RNAcentral.
GCCGGGGUUGCAGAGAGGUACUGCGCGGGCCUGGAGAGCUCGUGCCCGAAAGGGCGCGUGGGUUCAAAUCCCACCCCCGGCG